Long non-coding RNA from Daucus carota subsp. sativus, 718 nucleotides. RefSeq lists it as uncharacterized. The transcript has 2 exons. Lineage: Eukaryota; Viridiplantae; Streptophyta; Magnoliopsida; Apiales; Apiaceae. The record is from RefSeq and is a predicted model, not a curated record.
UAUGACCCCUUUCAGUUGACCUGCUAUAUUCAACUUUGUACAUUGAUUAUUUAUCGCGUUUGUGGCUAUACGUAUUAGCAGCAUAUGUCUCUUAGCUUAACUUGAAUUUCCUUGUAAAAAUCAAGUUAGGAAUGAUAUAUGGUCCAAUAGAGAAAUUAACAGAGUCAGUGAGAUAUGGUCAUAUGCUAGAUAUUGGACACUGUUACAGAAUGUGAUUAGUAAUGGAAUUGGGUUUUCUGACUUCAUUACAACAAGUUUGGAGAAUGGGAUGAUCAAUUCCAAUAUGUUGAUGGCCAUAGAUUAUCAAGUUUUGUGAGACAGACUUGCAAUGGAGCUAUGUGACAAGUUUGUUGAGGUCUAUUAUCACAAGAUGAGAAAGUUAUUGGAUGAUUCUAGUGCUAUAGAAUCAGCUAUUACUUGCAAGUGCAACUGCAUGUAUGAAUCUCACUAAAUGUAAGAAAAAGGGAUGAAAGGAAGAAACUUCCUUAAUUUCUUGUGGAGUUGAAGAAAAGCUUUUUUACGUUUGGAGGAAAUACUGUGAGAUUCAGUGGUGGCUUUCCCUGUAUGGCCUAUGGCGUGAUAAAACAAUAGGAGUCGUCGAAUCGGUCAGCAUUCAGCAUCAAUGUGGUUUCUAUUAUUAAGCAAAUGGUUUGAAACAAAGUUUUCUCCAACAAGAGAUGUCAAGAAUCUUAAGGGCAAUAGUAUUUUAUUCCUCUUC